GCGAGGGUUGCCGAGCGGCCAAAGGCGGCGGGCUUAAGACCCGCUCUCGUAGGAGUCCAUGGGUUCGAAUCCCAUCCCUCGCA
Molecule: transfer RNA, 83 nt
Filed under: Halorussus gelatinilyticus
Lineage: Archaea; Methanobacteriati; Methanobacteriota; Halobacteria; Halobacteriales; Haladaptataceae
Also listed under: 3 other names
Rfam family: tRNA
About the family: Transfer RNA (tRNA) molecules are approximately 80 nucleotides in length. Their secondary structure includes four short double-helical elements and three loops (D, anti-codon, and T loops).
Source: Rfam by way of RNAcentral